RNAcentral lists this ribosomal RNA (774 nucleotides) under uncultured Neocallimastigales. Its description in RNAcentral is "partial large subunit ribosomal RNA". It matches the Rfam family "Eukaryotic large subunit ribosomal RNA", at positions 24 to 644 of the family's 3401-position model. Lineage: Eukaryota; Fungi; Neocallimastigomycota; Neocallimastigomycetes; Neocallimastigales. The record is from RNAcentral.
UAUGUGAUCGUCUCUCGCAUAUCAAUAAGCGGAGGAAAAGAAACUAACAAGGAUUCCCCUAGUAACGGCGAGUGAAGCGGGAAGAGCUCAAAUUUGAAAUCUUAAAGGGUUUCCCUCUACGAAUUGUAGUUUAAAGAAGUGUUUUCUGUUGAGGUUUUGGUAAAAGUUCUUUGGAAUAGGACAUCAUAGAGGGUGAGAAUCCCGUAUUUGACCUUUACUUUCAACUUUGUGAUACACUUUCAAAGAGUCGGAUUGUUUGGGAAUGCAGUCCAAAAUGGGUGGUAAAUUUCAUCUAAAGCUAAAUAUUGGCGAGAGACCGAUAGCGAACAAGUACCGUGAGGGAAAGAUGAAAAGAACUUUGAAAAGAGAGUUAAACAGUACGUGAAAUUGUCAAAAGGGAAGCGUUUGACACCAGUGUUGUUUUUCUGAAAAUCAAUUAAAGAACUGUUUAUGCUAAGUUGUUUAGACUUUAUCAGCUAACUGUUUAGUUUUGAGCUUUUCUUUAAUGCACUUUUCAGUUAACAAGUCAACAUCAAUUUCUUUUGCUGUAAAAAAGCUUGAGGAAGGUGGCUUGAGAUUCGUCUUAAGUGUUUAUAGCCUCUUGCCUAUGCAGUCGGAGAGAUUGAGGUCUGCAGCGUAGAUCCUUCGGGGCUAAAUGCAUUUGUGCUAAGUUAUAGCAUUUUAUAGACAACUUGUUGACUAUGAUUUGUCUUGUAGCUUACUCGCUUAUGUUAUUUUACCUACGCUUAGGAUGUUGACUGAUAUGUAGUCGUA